RNAcentral lists this long non-coding RNA (2716 nucleotides) under Triticum aestivum (bread wheat). RNAcentral describes it as "long non-coding RNA (TAES_LNC019387)". The record is from RNAcentral. Lineage: Eukaryota; Viridiplantae; Streptophyta; Magnoliopsida; Poales; Poaceae.
UCAAACUACUAGCGCCCCUCUCGCCCACCCUCUCUCCCUCGCUGGUCGUCAACUUCUUCCCCAUGAAAGAAACCAGAUCCAAUGCCAUGAACCAGAUCCUGUAGAGCUGCCAUGGCAAAGCAGCCAAGGUGAGGAGAUCUUGGUCAGAAAAACAGGAAGAAGAGAAGAGAAGCUUACCAAGCAACGCCAAGGUAAGAAAUCCUUCUCCUCUCCCAUGUCCAAACCUUGUUGACUAUCCCCCUUGUCCUUUCCCUCUGAAUCUCCCAAAUCAAGUAAAAAAAAACUCCAUGAUUUUGAGCAGAGAAGGAAGAUCAAGUAAAAGCAUAAGAAAUUCAGUUCCCUGUGCAAGAAAACCAUUGUUUGAAACCAACUUUCACAUGGAUGUCUGCAAACAAACAUAUCCAGGGGUGAAAAAAAUGCAUCAGGUAUCCAGAGUAUUAUAGCCAACUAAAACAGGUAUUCUAUCCAACUCAAACAUCAGGUAUCCAGAGUAGUCUCCAUCAGGUAGCCAGCUUGUGACUAUCGUUCAACAUUAUCUGCUUCAUUACUCUCAUUUCCUUGAACAACAUCUCGCGGUUUGCAAAAAAAAGGCAAAGGUGAUUAGUUAUCAUUACAUACAAAUAUUUGUUCUCUGGAAAACUAGAUUAAAAUGUUGAGGAUGGCAACUUGAUAUCCUGUUUGUUCUGCAACUAGAAAUGCUGGUGAUGACAACUAAUGAGAUAUUCUUGUGCGACUAGAAAUGCUGAUGAUGCCAACUAAUGAGAUAUUCUUGUGCAACUAGAGAGGCUGAGGAUGACAACUACUUGAAUAAUGUUGUCCAACUAGAAUUGUAGAGGGUGCCAACUAAAUAGAUACUCUUCUGCAACUAGAAAUCCUGAGGGUGCCAAGUGAUUAGAUACCGUUGGGCAAUCCUCAAAAAUUUUAAGAUGGGAUAAAUCUGAAUUCUUAUGCAACUAGAGAGGCUGAGGAUUUCAACUACUUGGAUAAUGUUGUCCAACUAGAAUUGCCGAGGGUGCCAACUAAAUAGAUACUCUUCUGCAACUAGAAAGCCUGAGGGUGCCAAGUCGUUACAUACUGUAGGGAAAUCCUCAAUUUUUUUAAGAUGGGACUAAUCUGAGUUUUUGUGCAACUAGAAAAGAUGAGGAUGUCAACUAGUUAUAUAUUGUUGUGCAACUAGAAUUACUGAGGUUGCCAACUAAUUAGAUACUAUUCUGCAACUAGAAAGCCUGAGGAUGCCAAGUCGUUACAUACUCUUGGGACAAUUCUAAAAAACUUGAAGAUGGCAACGUUGAGCAACUGAGAAAGUUGAGCAUGCCAAUGCUUAAUUAGUCCUUCUGCAAUCAUGUAUGAAAAUUCAUACACUUGGCUGCCUGUAUGUGGAGUAAAAAAUAUUCCUGAUGGAACUUUAUGUUACCACAGCGGCUGCUGCAGAAGAUGUGGCAUCUACCCCUUUGGAUACUGCCUCCGCGCGCACCUUUCUUCUCUGCAGUUUUACUAAGAGGAAUCUUUCGCCACCGUGAAGUUUUGACUAGCAGAUUCUGUGCAACUACUUCUAUUGCCCCUGCCAACUACUUCUAAUGACCGUGUCCAACUGAAAACAACUAUGUGUGCAACUAGAACUAUUAUAGAUGCCAACAAAAAAUGAUUGCCGUGUGUGCAACUUUCCAAUGACCGUAUCCAACUGAAAACAACUAUGUGUGCAACUAGAACUACUAUAGAUGCCACCCAAAAAUGAUCGCCGUGUGUGCAACUUUCCAAUGAUCGUGUCCAACUGAAAACAACUAUGUGUACAACUAGAACUACUGUAGAUGCCAACAAAAAAUGAUCACCGUGUGUGUAACUUCCGAAUGACCAUAUCUAACUAAGAACAAUUAUGUGCAUAAUAUCUAGAAGUACUAUAGAUGCCAACAAAAAAUGGUCGCCGUGUGUGCAACUUUCCAAUGAUCGUAUCCAAUUGAGAACAAAUAUGUGUGCAAUUAGAACUACUAUAGAUGCUAACAAAAAUGAUCACCGUGUGUGUAACUUCCCAAUAAUCGUGUCCAACUGAAAACAAUUAUGUGUGCAACUAAAACUACUAUAGAUGCUAACAAAAAAUGAUUGCCAUGUGUGCAAUUUUUCAAUAAUAGGAUCUGUAUGUGCAACUACAACUACUAUAUUAAUGAUCGUCUCCGACGAAAACAACUAUGUGUGCAACAAGAAUUACUAUAAAUGCCAAAAAAAUGAACGCCAUGUGUAUUCAGUUCAAUGUAUACCGUUCCACUUUCACCACUGUAGGAAAAAGGUUUAGUGUUGUGCAACUUUCUAAUUGUCGUAUCCAACUGAGAACGGCUAUGUGUACAACUACAACCACUAUGGAUGCCAACUAAGAAUGUGAAGAUCAAUAUAUCUGAAAAAAGUGAUACAUACAUUCAGCAGAAACAGAGGGCAAAAAUACAAAGGAAUGAAACAGAUAAAAUUGCUGCUUACGAAUCAAUUGCUGCUUCUUCUGCUUCUACACGGAGAUAUAUUGGCUGUGAGGAUCGAGCAACUACUUUGCUUUGCAUGCUAUAACCCCGAAGGGCAUCCUCGUCGUUCAAUAGUCGUUGGCCGUCGUUGUUGCAACAGCAGUCACAUCGCGGGCGCGCGAUAGUUGGUGUUGAGUUCAGCGAGGAUGCAGGCCGAGAGCCACGCAGGUGGCCGCCGGCAAGCACCUUAACCCCACACGGCUAGCCCUUCG